GAUGAACGCUGGCGGCGUGCCUAAUACAUGCAAGUCGAGCGAACGGACGAGAAGCUUGCUGCUCGGACGUUAGCGGCGGACGGGUGAGUAACACGUGGAUAACCUACCUAUCAGACUGGGAUAACUUCGGGAAACCGGCGCUAAUACCGGAUGAUAUUUUGAACCGCAUGGUUCAAUAGUGAAAGACGGUCUUGCUGUCACUUAUAGAUGGAUCCGCGCUGCAUUAGCUAGUUGGUAAGGUAACGGCUUACCAAGGCAACGAUGCAUAGCCGACCUGAGAGGGUGAUCGGCCACACUGGAACUGAGACACGGUCCAGACUCCUACGGGAGGCAGCAGUAGGGAAUCGUCCGCAAUGGGCGAAAGCCUGACGGAGCAACGCCGCGUGAGUGAUGAAGGUCUUCGGAUCGUAAAACUCUGUUAUUAGGGAAGAACAGAUGUGUAAGUAGCUGUGCACAUCUUGACGGUACCGAAUCAGAAAGCAACGGCUAACUACGUG
This 497-nucleotide ribosomal RNA is filed under the name uncultured bacterium. RNAcentral's name for it is "partial 16S ribosomal RNA". It matches the Rfam family "Bacterial small subunit ribosomal RNA", at positions 28 to 507 of the family's 1533-position model. The record is from RNAcentral.